AACGUCUUAAACAAUGUAAGCCCUACCUUCUCUUACAUUCUUACGGCUCUUUAGCCGAUCCAGGUGAUUAAAAUGUUUCUAUUCAUA
Molecule: small RNA, 87 nt
Filed under: Sinobaca qinghaiensis
Lineage: Bacteria; Bacillati; Bacillota; Bacilli; Caryophanales; Sporolactobacillaceae
Description: BsrC
Rfam family: BsrC
About the family: The 301 nucleotide sequence from Kouji Nakamura has been trimmed to a highly conserved ~85 nucleotide long core to form this family.
Source: Rfam by way of RNAcentral